UAUAACAUGAUAUUAAUCCAGAGCUGCUUAUUCUCGCAUAACAGCUACAGCACUCGAUCAGAAAAACACCAUGUGCUAUUCUACAUCGGUUGCGUAGAAUAUUGCCAAAAUUCAUUUAAAAUUCUGAAAAUUGGUUUUGAGUUGAAUUCAAUUUCCAGGAGGAGCAAAUUCAGAUCCUUAAAAGGAGAGAACCGACGCAGAAAGGAUUAACUUACCAGGAGAUCAAACAAAUGGAGUAUCUGGCUAAGGCGAUCGAUGAGAUGCUCCGCAGAGUUAAUAUUGGAUUCUCGUUGUUUCGAGAGGCGAGAGAAGACACCACAAUCAAUGGAUAUCUCAUACCAAAAGGGUGGAAUGUCCUAAUUUGCCUCAGAGGUGUUCAUAUGGAUCCAACAAACUACUCGGAACCAGAAGAGUUCAAUCCUUCAAGAUGGGAUAAUUAUAGAAAGAAGGGAGGUG
This is a long non-coding RNA of Syzygium oleosum, 456 nucleotides long. RefSeq lists it as uncharacterized. Lineage: Eukaryota; Viridiplantae; Streptophyta; Magnoliopsida; Myrtales; Myrtaceae. The record is from RefSeq and is a predicted model, not a curated record. The transcript is spliced from 4 exons.